RNAcentral lists this ribosomal RNA (292 nucleotides) under uncultured Alphaproteobacteria bacterium. Its description in RNAcentral is "partial 16S ribosomal RNA". Lineage: Bacteria; Pseudomonadati; Pseudomonadota; Alphaproteobacteria. The record is from RNAcentral.
GGACUACAGGGGUAUCUAAUCCUGUUUGCUCCCCACGCUUUCGCACCUCAGCGUCAGUACCGGGCCAGUGAGCCGCCUUCGCCACUGGUGUUCUUGCGAAUAUCUACGAAUUUCACCUCUACACUCGCAAUUCCACUCACCUCUCCCGGACUCAAGAUCCCCAGUAUCAAGGGCAGUUCCGAGGUUGAGCCUCGGGAUUUCACCCCUGACUUAAGGAUCCGCCUACGUGCGCUUUACGCCCAGUGAUUCCGAACAACGCUAGCCCCCUUCGUAUUACCGCGGCGGCUGGCAC